Molecule: ribosomal RNA, 433 nt
Filed under: uncultured bacterium
Lineage: Bacteria
Description: partial 16S ribosomal RNA
Rfam family: Bacterial small subunit ribosomal RNA
Source: RNAcentral
AACGAACGCUGGCGGCAGGCUUAACACAUGCAAGUCGAGCGCAUCCUUCGGGGUGAGCGGCGGACGGGUGAGUAACGCGUGGGAACGUGCCCUCUUCUACGGAAUAGCCUCGGGAAACUGAGAGUAAUGCCGUAUACGCCCGCAAGGGGAAAGAUUUAUCGGAGGAGGAUCGGCCCGCGUUGGAUUAGGUAGUUGGUGGGGUAACGGCCUACCAAGCCGACGAUCCAUAGCUGGUUUGAGAGGAUGAUCAGCCACACUGGGACUGAGACACGGCCCAGACUCCUACGGGAGGCAGCAGUGGGGAAUCUUGGACAAUGGGGGCAACCCUGAUCCAGCCAUGCCGCGUGAUCGAUGAAGGCCUUAGGGUUGUAAGGAUCUUUCAGCUGGGAAGAUAAUGACGGUACCAGCAGAAGAAGCCCCGGCUAACUCCGUG